Long non-coding RNA from Strigops habroptila (Kakapo), 329 nucleotides. RefSeq lists it as uncharacterized. Lineage: Eukaryota; Metazoa; Chordata; Aves; Psittaciformes; Psittacidae. The record is from RefSeq and is a predicted model, not a curated record. The transcript has 3 exons.
AGAUUUAUUUUUCUGUGGUUCUUGAAAUACCUGAGAAGCAGGAACACCCUUUGAACUUUCUCAUGUGAGGUAAGCUGUGGUUUCUGCAGGUCCAUACCGCAAUGCCUGGUAUGACCAAGUGUAUACAAGCCAAAAGGGAGAUACUUCCACCAAGCAACCAAAUUUGAGACUGUGAUGCCCUCGUAGAUUUUUACUCAUCAGCUUCUGGAAGAUACCAUUUGAUGGAGAAGAGCGUCUCAGAACGUGGAGGUCGAAGAAAGGCAUGUAAAAUUUGGGAAUUCAGUUCCUGGUACAGAGGGUCCAGGGAGCAGCUUGUGGAUUGAAAAUUG